UACGUAGGGGGCAAGCGUUAUCCGGAAUCACUGGGCGUAAAGGGAGCGUAGGCGGUUUGACAAGCCAGAGGUGAAAGGCAAUAGCUUAACUAUUGUAAGCCUUUGGAACUGUCGAACUUGAGUGUAGGAGAGGAAAGUGGAAUUCCUAGUGUAGCGGUGAAAUGCGUAGAUAUUAGGAGGAACACCAGUGGCGAAGGCGACUUUCUGGACUAUAACUGACGCUGAGGCUCGAAAGCGUGGGGAGC
RNAcentral lists this ribosomal RNA (245 nucleotides) under uncultured Eubacteriales bacterium. RNAcentral's name for it is "uncultured Clostridiales bacterium partial 16S ribosomal RNA". It matches the Rfam family "Bacterial small subunit ribosomal RNA", at positions 524 to 769 of the family's 1533-position model. Lineage: Bacteria; Bacillati; Bacillota; Clostridia; Eubacteriales. The record is from RNAcentral.